AUUGGAUUGAGAACAAUGUACAACUCUUAUCGAUAAGCCAUUGGAGGGCAAGUCUGGUGCCAGCAGCCGCGGUAAUUCCAGCUCCAAUAGCGUAUAUUAACGUUGUUGCAGUUAAAAAGCUCGUAGUUGAAGUGUGGGUGAUCGCUGUUGUGAGACUUCGGUCUCUCGAUAGUAAGUCACCCCCUUCCAGUAUCCAGUAGUGGGUAUUCACUUACUUACUACUGUGUGUUGGUCCUUUACUGUGAGAAAAUUAGAGUGUUCAAAGCAGGCGUUUGCUUGAAUAGAUUAGCAUGGAAUAAUAAUUGAAGGCUUUCGUGUUCGAUUUGAUUGGUUUGUUCAUGGAAGCAAGGUUAAAAGGAACAGUUGGGGGUAUUCAUAUUCACUAGUUAGAGGUGAAAUUCUCGGAUUUAUGGAAGAUGAACAAGUGCGAAAGCAA
RNAcentral lists this ribosomal RNA (436 nucleotides) under Blastocystis sp. RNAcentral describes it as "SSU rRNA". It matches the Rfam family "Eukaryotic small subunit ribosomal RNA", at positions 508 to 954 of the family's 1831-position model. The record is from RNAcentral. Lineage: Eukaryota; Bigyra; Opalinata; Blastocystidae.